This 347-nucleotide ribosomal RNA is filed under the name uncultured bacterium. Its description in RNAcentral is "partial 16S ribosomal RNA". It matches the Rfam family "Bacterial small subunit ribosomal RNA", at positions 338 to 682 of the family's 1533-position model. The record is from RNAcentral.
CCUACGGGUGGCAGCAGGGAGGAAUAUUGGUCAAUGGGCGCGAGCCUGAACCAGCCAAGUAGCGUGAAGGAUGACGGCCCGACGGGUUGUAAACUUCUUUUAUAAAGGAAUAAAGUGAGGCACGUGUGCCGUUUUGUAUGUACAUUAUGAAUAAGGAUCGGCUAACUCCGUGCCAGCAGCCGCGGUAAUACGGAGGAUCCGAGCGUUAUCCGGCUUUAUUGGGUUUAAAGGGAGCGUAGAGGGGUUGUUAAGUCAGUGGUGAAAGUUUGCGGCUCAACCGUACAAUUGCCUUUGAUACUGGCAGCCUUGCGUACAGUUGCGGUCGGCGGAAUUCGUGUUGUAGCGGU